GUCGAGCGAACGGACGAGAAGCUUGCUUCUCUGAUGUUAGCGGCGGUCGGGUGAGUAACACGUGGAUAACCUACCUAUAAGACUGGGAUAACUUCGGGAAACCGGAGCUAAUACCGGAUGAUAUUUUGAACCGCAUGGUUCAAAAGUGAAAGACGGUCUUGCUGUCACUUAUAGAUGGAUCCGCGCUGCAUUAGCUAGUUGGUAAGGUAACGGCUUACCAAGGCAACGAUGCAUAGCCGACCUGAGAGGGUGAUCGGCCACACUGGAACUGAGACACGGUCCAGACUCCUACGGGAGGCAGCAGUAGGGAAUCUUCCGCAAUGGGCGAAAGCCUGACGGAGCAACGCCGCGUGAGUGAUGAAGGUCUUCGGAUCGUAAAACUCUGUUAUUAGGGAAGAACAUAUGUGUAAGUAACUGUGCACAUCUUGACGGUACCUAAUCAGAAAGCCACGGCUAACUACGUGCCAGCAGCCGCGGUAAUACGUAGGUGGCAAGCGUUAUCCGGAAUUAUUGGGCGUAAAGCGCGCGUAGGCGGUUUUUUAAGUCUGAUGUGAAAGCCCACGGCUCAACCGUGGAGGGUCAUUGGAAACUGGAAAACUUGAGUGCAGAAGAGGAAAGUGGAAUUCCAUGUGUAGCGGUGAAAUGCGCAGAGAUAUGGAGGAACACCAGUGGCGAAGGCGACUUUCUGGUCUGUAACUG
Molecule: ribosomal RNA, 699 nt
Filed under: uncultured Staphylococcus sp.
Lineage: Bacteria; Bacillati; Bacillota; Bacilli; Caryophanales; Staphylococcaceae
Description: bacterial SSU rRNA
Rfam family: Bacterial small subunit ribosomal RNA
Source: RNAcentral